AGGCUUGGUUUCCUGGGGGGUGGGCUCAGCUACUCCACUUCCCCUCAGCCAAGCCUACAAGAGAGGGGCCAGGCCUCCUCUCUCUUGGGAGAGGCAUUUGAGGAAGGAGCCUCACCUGGACUGGUCUGGCCUCACAUUU
Molecule: small nucleolar RNA, 139 nt
Filed under: Castor canadensis (American beaver)
Lineage: Eukaryota; Metazoa; Chordata; Mammalia; Rodentia; Castoridae
Description: Small Cajal body specific RNA 21 (ENSCCNG00000002014.1)
Rfam family: Small Cajal body specific RNA 21
About the family: scaRNAs are a specific class of small nuclear RNAs which localise to the Cajal bodies and guide the modification of RNA polymerase II transcribed spliceosomal RNAs U1, U2, U4, U5 and U12. ACA68 (SCARNA21) is a member of the H/ACA class of snoRNAs that guide the sites of modification of uridines to pseudouridines. This snoRNA was identified by computational screening and its expression in mouse experimentally verified by Northern blot and primer extension analysis.
Source: Rfam by way of RNAcentral